GGGGGUGUAGCGCAGUUGGGAGCGCGUUUGAAUGGCAUUCAAAAGGUCGAGGGUUCGAUCCCCUUCAUCUCCACCA
This 76-nucleotide transfer RNA is filed under the name Negativibacillus sp. Its description in RNAcentral is "tRNA-Ala". It matches the Rfam family "tRNA". From Rfam's summary of the family: Transfer RNA (tRNA) molecules are approximately 80 nucleotides in length. Their secondary structure includes four short double-helical elements and three loops (D, anti-codon, and T loops). The record is from RNAcentral. Lineage: Bacteria; Bacillati; Bacillota. RNAcentral also lists the same sequence under 1 other name.